This is a non-coding RNA of Mycena leptocephala, 88 nucleotides long. The record is from the annotation of a GenBank genome assembly. NCBI's taxonomy places the organism in Eukaryota, Fungi, Basidiomycota, Agaricomycetes, Agaricales, Mycenaceae.
UUGGAUGUAGUGCAUGGUGCACACCCGCUCGCAGUAGAAAGGCUGGGAAUGCAUGUGGGAGGCCUGGGUUCAAUUCCCGGCAUCCGAA